Molecule: long non-coding RNA, 525 nt
Organism: Mercenaria mercenaria
Lineage: Eukaryota; Metazoa; Mollusca; Bivalvia; Venerida; Veneridae
Exons: 3
Source: RefSeq, a predicted model, not a curated record
CAACAACUAUCUGUCAAAAUGAGAAGAUACCGGUAUGGUGAUCCAAAAUCAACAAAAGCCAGAACUCGAGUGAUAGGCCAGGUUCUUAAAUUCUUUAUUGGAUGGAAUAUAAUGGGUUAUUGUAUUUGGAGAUAUCUUAAAUCUGCUGCAAGUAAACAAGAUCCAAGGUUUGAUCAGAAAUCAUCAGCUGAGCAGGUUUUACAAAUGAUAGGAUAUAAGGAAAAUGCUAAGCAGCCAACAAAAUAUCGUCUGAAGAUCGGAAGUGGCGGUUUUAGUUUACGAAAGGAGGAUGAGGAUACUUCAGCUGACAGCUGUGACAAAAAAACUGAAGACACAAAUUCUGAAGGAAGUCCAAAAAAUUAAGUGUUCGAAAGAGAGAUGAGAAAUAGUGUGUCACAGCCAUUUGUGUACAACUGGACUCUAAAGAUUUUGAACAAGAGCGGAAUGUCGAAACUGAAAGAUCAGCAAGUCUUAUAGAAAGAUGUGGAAAGAUGUGGCUUCAGAAGUCUGUGAUUUAUACCACAU